RNAcentral lists this long non-coding RNA (6347 nucleotides) under Venturia canescens. Its description in RNAcentral is "uncharacterized LOC122412360, transcript variant X2". Lineage: Eukaryota; Metazoa; Arthropoda; Insecta; Hymenoptera; Ichneumonidae. The record is from RNAcentral.
AGGGGGGGAAGGUCAGUCUUCCGGAAAACGUGUCGAGCGUAGUAACGUCGAUUUCUUUUGUAUUAAAUAAAGUUAUCUUUCUUCAUCGCUUAUCAUCAACGUGUACCGUGUACUAAUUGAUCCACUAAAACCAUUCCUGCUCAUCCUGAAUAAUCCAACAAACUCUACAGAACUGUGGCGCGUCCAUGUUCUUCGAAUCCCGGUGAAUCAGUCAAGUGACUCUUAUAAACAUUCGGAAGGCUUGUGAUUUUUACGAUCUUUAUGGAGGUGAAAAAUUUGCCACUCUCUUGGAUCUCGGAGCUCGUCCAACUUAUUUACAUGGAGAAUGGGUGGACAGUUUUUUGAGACAAAAAAACAGUCAACUUAUUCAACUCGAGUAUCCUCUAAAUCGUGCGGAUCCAACAACCUAAAGAUGGAAAGAUCAGUAGGUUUUCAACAUCUGAAAUAUAACUUUGGUGCGGGAGCUUGAGAAAUUUGAUAGUUUGAGCAAUCUGCGAUGGAGCACGUACUACAAAAUAAAUCCCAUGGUUUAAAUAAGCAGGAGUGUUGCACAUUUACGACAAUCGUUUCGUGCUAUGCGAAUCAACGUUAGUCGCGUAGAGAUGAGUCGAGUGAAGCAAUUGCGCAAAGAAAAUGGUUCCUCCAACGGUUGACUCUGCUGGAACGUUGCAGUGACUGACAACGAGGCAACAGUUGCACCUACGAAAGGAAACACUCGUAUUGGGAACAAAUUGAAUCUCUGCAACAGUUCGAAUGUCGUCGUUGCGUCUCGAGAAAAUAGGGGUCCUUAGAAUGGAGAAUCGAGCAAAGAAUCAUCGUAACAACAUCUUGCCAUGUAAGAUAGUGCAAAUCGGCUUUUUCAUUGGUGGAUGUUUACAUAAAACAGCAUUAACAGCAAUCUAUUCAUGUGUUAUUAUCAAAACAUGGAGUCGAAAUGGAAUCUGUAGGAAGACAGGGAACGCUGGUUUCUUACGCUGUACGUUUUGCUCUUUCUUCAUCUGGACGUGACCGACCUUCGUGAUACAUCGCUCUAUUGACCACAACUCUAAAGAAGCAAUCCAAUUGUAUUUCAAACGAACAUAACUUCUGGUCGUUCCAAGCCCUUUUUUUCAUUGACCUCUUGCUCUCGUCAUUCAGUUCAUAUUUUUUUAUUCUUGCGACAUAUUUUUUUACUUGUUUUGUUAUUUUUCUCGAGCACUUGUAUUGAUAUUUGUUGUUCUCAACUAUAACGAACGCUGUCUCAGGCAUGCUUUCGUAGAGUUUUUUUUUUAUAAUUACUCCAUCAGUUAGCUCUCUUAUUUCCGCGAUCACAUGAGUGCACAUAUUUUGUGCAUAUGUACAAUUGUACCAUGGCCAAGCAUAUCUACUAAACUAGGGUGUUAUCUUUUCAAACGUGUGUGAAACUCUCUUAUCGUACUGCGUUAUCGUACUAUAAUUUUUUAUAUUAUGCAUGUUCGCAAAUUUUGUCAGAAUUUGAUUAAUGUCCUAGUGCAGACGAACAGCACUACUUUAUUUGAUCUCGUGAAAUUUUUCUGUCACUAUUUCCACUUAUUUCGACGGUACAAGAACAGCGGUGUGCAAACAAUUAAAGAAAAAUAUAUGAUGCCUAUUUUAAAAGAAAAAUCGAGGUUUUGGUUUAAUUGUCAAAGCCAAAAGUGAAUACGUACUGAAUUAGAGAUAAAAUAAACGCGUCGAACCUAAAUAAAAAAUAUAUGAAAAAUUCGAAAUUCUUUCGAUAAAGAUAUGCUCAAUUAUUCAGAACUCGUUCAUUCGCCGCCAUUCCGUGUCGAUAUUUGGAAAGAUAAUAUGUAGCGGUGGGAUGAAUUUCGAUUAAAACAUGUUUUUUAAGGCUGUUAUUAGUGUAUACGAGAACAUUUUCCAUUCACAGUGUUGUCAUUGUUCUGGUACGUAUCUUUAUAACGCAUCGCUAGAAAACUGCUUACAUAUUGAGUAUAAUGAAAACGACAAUAGUAAAAUAAUUUCAACGAGGUCGCAAAAUAAUUAUCACGAUGUGGUAUACCGGAGUAAUACCAUUCGCAAAAAUUACGUGAACGGAGCAAUGAAGAUCUUGAAAUUUUGAAACUUUUGUAAUUAUCAAAAAUCUGCAGAGACUCGGCACGCGAAAUGUUAUGUUAACGAUAGCAAUAAUAGUGAAUCAAAAUUUCACAUAAAAAAUUUGAUAAAAAACAGUAUCCGUUUAUUAUGAUUUUCCUUCUUUUUUACUGCCUGUUGAGUGACGCACCGUGCAUGUUAAUCACUUGCCGUGAUAGUCAAAUGCUAAUAUAAAUACCUGUGACCUGCUGCAGACCAUUCAUAAAUGUUUUUCCAUCUCUUUCAAAUACAUACAUAGUUAAGUACAUUAAGAGGAUGGAUCAGUCGGUAUAUCGCAACCGUGAGUGCGAGAGAGAUAACUGCAAAUUUCGAAAUCUAAAUUCUUUGAAACAGAAAAUUCCAAGUGAGGUUAGUCGACUGAUCCAUACUCUUGAUUCGAGAAAAAAAUUAUUCAGUCAAGAGAACAAGUGUAAUAGAGGAACCUCGUGCAAAUCACUAAUUGACAGUGUGGCGGACAUGAAACUUUUAUCGGUAUAUAUCGUUUCAAUUAUUUCUAUAUCCAUUAUUUGUUGCAUCCUACCAGUGAUAUACGUCAAACUUUGACAUGAGCAAAUAAUUUCUUUUUGCUAUAUUUCCGCUAACCCUUCGGUGAUCGAUUUUCCGGUCUCUGGGACCAUGCUCUCGAGGUAUCUAGAAUUUGCGAUUAUCCUCACAAGUCUGUGAGGAUAAUCGAAUUCCUUGCGAGACACAGGAAAAAGGAAGAAAUUCGUAAUUGCAUAUCAAGUUUUCAGCUUCAAAAUGGUAAUGAGGAAUAAACUUCGACGAUGACGACGGACGACGACGAUGGACGACGCUAAGUCGACGGUAAAUGACCUCGUACGGUGGGUUCAAAACAUCGAGUUCACGAAAAUUAAAAAAUUUUCGAAAAUCGAAAAAUCGACAUUCCACGAUGGAUUUGAAACAUGUUUCACGCGAUUCUGGAUCGGAUGAAUCAAAGUUGUAAUGAACGAUAAAAAAAAAAUUCCAAGGUUCGAAAAUUUCACGACGACGACGAUGCGGACGACGAUGACGACGACGGUGGUAAAAGUAACGACUUACGAAUUUAACAACGUUCAUAACCAUGUGAAUGAGAUGCGAAAGACGUGGAUUUCUCUCAAAAUUUUGCAAAUCACGGUAGUAAAUACUGCUGAGUUGAGCAAUUUCCUGAAGCUUGCGAAGCUCGAUUUCUCUCUCCUCCGUUUCAUGCUCCACUUUUUUUUUCCUUUUGUUGGCAUUUUUCUUGUCAUAUUACCAUGGCAGUUUCCGCAAUUUUUUCCAUCAUCUCUAUCCGUGGUUGUUUUUUUGUUUGAAUUUUCGUGAUAUCGUUUGGUUUUUUUUUGUUACUCUCAUUUGCCGGCGACGACGACGACACGAGGGCGGUUGUGUCGUCUUGUCACAUGCAAUUAUUUAUACUGCAAUGUGGCGACGAAAAAAUGUCAUUACAAUAAUUCCAUCUUUGCGAGAGGCGAGAUCGGAUAAAUAAAGUAAACGCAUCGCUAGAGAAAAAAUGUACGCGGAUGUAUACAUGUAUAUCUGAUCAUCUCAUUUUCGGUCCGCGCGCGGCGCCAAGUGAGUAUAGUUCCGAUCUCAUUACCUAUUGAGAUCUGACAAAAUUCGUGAGAUAUCUGGUGUCAAAUUUUGAACUACAACCGGGGUGCAACAUGGACGACUAACACACGACAAGUCACUUGAAGAUGUGACACAUUCAUGUACGUUGCACCCCGGUAUGCGCCAUUUUUAGCUUGGCCACGCCUCCAUGUCAGAUCCCAAUAACGAAUCCAGAGUAUUCAGACGUACAUAGAAGCCCAGUUCUUACGGGCGGCUUGAAGACAAACUUUUUGCCACCCCAUCCGUCGCUUGGCGGCGUGGACGUUCGCACUGUAACUUCACCGGUCAUUACGGUGUGCGGUGUUUCUCAUUGUUUUGAUGUUUUUUUUUAUCGGAUCAAGCCAAAAAUGUUUGACAUAAUACUUUGAAGCCUAAAAGAGACUUCAAUAUGUACUGUGACGUGACAUUUUUGCCUCGCCACUCGUACGAAUCGUGUCGACCAGUGGACCGGGUUUACGGCCCAUUUUGACGCCGUUCGACUCGUCGGGUGUUGGUCGGAACGAGACUCAUCGUCACGUAAUUAUAAGUGUUAUUUUAAGAAUCGCGUAUAGUACCUUUCGAGCGACAAUUUACUAGGCCUAUAACCGUUACCUGAUACCUCCGUGUGCAAGGAAGAGAGAGAAUUUUUGAUUGUUUAAUUUUGAGUUUUAAUGAAGUUUCCUUUUGACUAUUUCGUUUGUUUUCGAGAGAUUUGGUGUUAACGUCACCACAUUUGGCCCCGCUAGCAUUAUUCAUUUGGCGUUACGUUCCUGCUGUUCGAGCUGAUCUCGCUCGCGAGAAUCAUUCCUCUCACGCCGUCUUCGAGUACCGAAGAACAUUCUCGACCUGCGGGCGGUUGAAAGAGCACGCUGGCAUAGGCCAUUUAUUGAACGCCGCCCGUGUCUUUCCCGCCGUAGCAACCCAGAGUUGCACCGCCCGCAAUACCGUGAAUUCGGGUGUUACAGUCCGUGCGAACCGGCGCCUCGUCAGGUGGGAUCUGGGGGAGUUUUUCUGGAGGCGAGGUGCUGUUUUACCUGGUGGUUUAUUUUGUGGGCCCACCGCGACAUCCGGAGUCGUGAGGGAGGCCUCCCCUCGGCCUUUCAGAGCUGGCCGCCGGAUCCUCAAGAGGAAAGACACCCGAUUCACGGUCAUCUAGUCGAGAGAAGUGUUUCGAGUGAGCGGGAGAGGUGAGAGCAGCAGAAAGGUAAUUAUUGCGAUAUUGUGUAAAGAAGCGUGACGGGAAUUAUCCUCCGUAAACGCUCCAUGGUUUUGAGCUUCCCGCGAAAGCGCGAGCAAAGAGUCCGUACUCUAGUUCGCGCCUAGCGCGUGAGCGCUGUCGUGCAUGGGCCUAGUGGUGGGGAGAGCGCCGAAUCUGGAGGACCGCUCGUCGCACUAUCAGUCUUCUUCCGAUCACCUCACCGGCGAGUCACCAAUAUACGUCCCGAUCAUCGCGGAUCCUUUUGUCUUUCGGCGUGCGACGAGCUGUUUCUUCGGUAAGCCCUUCCUCCUUCUCCCCGAAUGAUUAAUGGAGUUGAGCAUUUUGAGUUUCGGAAUUUAGUUCCGGUUUAUUUGGCGUUUCGGGGAACAUGUGUGUCGAAGUUUCGAGCGAGAUUGCGGCCGAUACUUCCCGUGUUCCCAAAUUUUGUAGUUUAGCGGCUCAGCUCUACUAAUCGAUUCGAUAUUAAUUUGGGUCCAUUCAGUAUAGUUUAUUUGACGUAAUCCUGUUGCGCAUUAAUUAAUUAAGUUUGGGUUUUGUAAUGUCGAAUUUUUGAUAUCGAAUUUUGGUAGUACGCGCUGGAAUAUUCCACGCAGCUACGUUUCUCUCUCUCCCUGCACGCGUUGAGGCUCUAGCGAGCACGGUCGUUCGCGCGAUGUUUUCGCUCUGUCUCUCUCGCACUUAUUGUCGCGCGUCGUCUAUACGGCGAUUUAUUCUGUCUUUUGUAUUGCGUAUUUUUCAGCCGUUCCUUUUGCGUUCAUAUUUAUUUUCUUUUCUCUAUUUCGUGACGAUCGUAUCAUUUUGCGUUCCGUUAUGGCGAAUUAUCUUACGGCCCUCUUUCGUUACCUAUGUUACCUUUUCAACGAUUAUCUUGCUAUUAGUUUCUAUGAUUUAUUUUAUCGUAUAACGCCGUUACCUUCGUAUUAGUGUACUGAUCGUUCGGGAAUUUCGGUAUUACUUCGCGCUUAGCCGAAAGUCGCUUCACUAUUACCUUCGAUUACCUUUCGUCGCAUACCUUCGAGUAUUCUUGCGGCCGAGAACUCAUGUAGGGAAUUAUCUGGCGUCAAUUACUUUGCCUAUGUUGCCUAUGACGCUCUCGCGAGUUACUUUAGGGUUACCUGGUGUCGAUUACCUUUUACCUGAAUUUACCUAAGACACCGGUUGUUCUGGCGUUGGUUACCUUUUACCUACAAUGCCAGAGCGGCGGUCGUCGAUUACCUACGACACCCGCGAAAUUGCGAUGCGAUUACCUAUUACCUGAAUUAACUGAUUAAUUCGAGUAAGCCGCGCGCCGAAACCGCGUUGUCGUCCGAUACGUAUUGGCCAUACGAUUCUAGCGAGCCGUAAAUUGAAUUUUCUUCCCCACUCUUAUUUUAUAUAGAAUCCACUCUCGCGAGAAUUCAUCUUUUCUUGUACUUUUGUUUAUUUGAAUAAAUUGUGAAUCUUUUCUGAA